Long non-coding RNA from Etheostoma spectabile (orangethroat darter), 369 nucleotides. RefSeq lists it as uncharacterized. NCBI's taxonomy places the organism in Eukaryota, Metazoa, Chordata, Actinopteri, Perciformes, Percidae. The transcript has 4 exons. The record is from RefSeq and is a predicted model, not a curated record.
GGGAAGAGGCAUCGGACGGAUUUGUAGAAACAUUUCAAAGAAAGUUAUAAUCUAUUUUGGAAGUAAGGACCUUAAAGGUUUUAAAUAGUCGGUGAGGCUGUGAAUCUCCGUUCAUCUGAGCUAUAAUACAGAGACAUGGCCCACACAGAGACAACUGGGAAAAACGUUUAUGUCCACUUGGCGGGAGAAACUAAUGGUGCUCAUCGGGCAUUUGUUAAAAAGUUGAAAGACGGUGGCCAUAUUGAGGUGCAGUCUCCUGGAGAAAGUGACUACCUUUUGGUUUUCUGUCCCAUCGCUUCACAAGUUGGAACGGACAUAUGUGAGGCCCUGGACCACAUACCAGGUGGGAAACCAGCAAUUCUGAUGGUG